Salvia splendens (bonfire salvia) is the source of this 1968-nucleotide long non-coding RNA. RefSeq lists it as uncharacterized. The transcript is spliced from 6 exons. Lineage: Eukaryota; Viridiplantae; Streptophyta; Magnoliopsida; Lamiales; Lamiaceae. The record is from RefSeq and is a predicted model, not a curated record.
CUAUACAUUCUGAAUAAUCAAGCAAUAAAAUUACCCAAUUCUACGGCUUCUGCUUCAGCUAGUCCUUCUGAUUCUAACGAUUGGGACUUGAUUCUGCUAGGAGUCAUAUAGAUUUGGCGGUGAUGUAAUUAGGGAUUUAGGGCGAGGGAAUAAAUUAAGUGGCCAAUGUUUACUGAUAUUGGUGGGCUGUUUUAUAUUUUGAGUUAUUUGAAAGACAAGGUGAUUGCGCCGAUGCACCAGUUGAAGCUACUGCGUCACUUUGGAGGCAAACCUACAACCGCAAUUCUGUUACACGGGCCACCGGGCUGUGGGAAAACCAUGCUGGCUCGAUCCAUUGGCAAUGAGGCCCGGGUGCCGCUCUAUGAAACAUCUGCUGUUGUGUUGAAGUCUAGAGUGUCAGGGCUGCAUUGUUUGACAUAGUCGUGUGAAUUGCGGAAUGCUGGUGUCUAUCAAAUGCAGUUUAAUUGGACUGCUUACAUUUGCGAACUGUUUACAGCUUUUGUUGGAACAUGAAUGGCCAUUGAAUGCAUCUUAUAAAGAGGGAUUGCAAUUGCUUCGUAUGACUUGAUUGUGUAAAUUGAAGCUAAUGGACGGUUUGGCCAUAUGCUAAAAUGGGAGAUUUUUCCACCACGCGAUAUACAAACUGGGAUGGUGAUGGAGGCCUUCAGUUGUUGAAAUUGGGACUUGAACGCCGCAUUGUUAAGUUUUUAAUGUUUUCACAAGUUUAUGAGGUGGUUCCCUUUCAUUUUGUUGAGCUAUUUUAUAUUUGGAGGCCUUCAAUUAUUGUGAACAUUGCCAUCAUAUAGUUAAGGAUAAUAGGAUGUAUAGUUUUUUAACUUCAUAAGGUAGUUCCUUUCCUAAUUUAUUGAUAGUCGAUUGUGAUUGUCUCAUUUAGCAAUUGAUAUUUCAAAUUUUUGCAUGCUUGUAUUAUCAUAUUUUUGCUCCUCUGCCAAACUUGCACAAUUUUACAUCCAUCAUAUAUCUUGUGACUAGUCAGCUGAAAAUCAUCGAGAAUAAAAGCUUGGCGAGAUAAGAUUUCCCUAUCAUCCUUUUUCUUCUCAACUCUUGGAGCUUAGCAUUUUCUAAAUAAGCUUAUCUUUUAUAGUCUCUUUGGGAAAGUGGGGUGAAGAACUUGCCGACCUUCUUUUUUCUUUAUGGUCCUUCAGGUUGUGGAAAGACAUUGAGUUUAAUGCUUUGACUAAAGAAGCAGGAGCGAAUUUCAUUCAUAUCAAGGGGACUGAACUAUUGAAGUUUGUGUGGACCAAGGUAUUGUGGAAAAUAUUUUCAAAUGUGCAAAAGCUCACCCUCCAUGUGUAGUUUUGAUUGAUGAGGUGGACGUGUUGUCCCGAGAUGAUUUCACAAACAGCGAUCUAGAGGAGGAUGAAUAUGUAUGGAAGUCGGAGGAAUACAGAGAGAUAUGGAUCCAAGUCAGAAAUUCAAAAUAAGAAUCGCGUGUUUACGUGAUUGGUACAUCAAGUAGGUACAUGAUUAAGUAUCCCGCUCAUCAAAGAAGAUUUUGGUAGGAUUUGUAUGCUCCUCUUCCUACUCCAGAGGAAAGAGGAGAGGUGUUAAAAGUUCUUGCUCGAAACAAACCAAUAGAUGCCGAAGUGGAUCUGAUGGCUCUAGGAAAAGACGCCGCUUGUGAAAAUUUCAGUGGCUCUGAUCUAUUUGCACUGGUACAUGCCAUUCUCUCUUUACAUUAGUAGUAUUUUUCAUGUCUUAUUUCCGACUCUAAGAGUCAUCCUGUGCCGGAAAACUUUUCCGUCACUGUCCUUUUGAGUAUAAAUUGGUUAAAGUCCAGAAAAUGUGACAGUUUAUGAUAUACUACUUGACUAUUUAGUCCAGAAUCAGUGUUAUAUUUUGUCAGUAGAUUGUUAGGUUGUUAUUUCAACUUCUUUAUUCCUAUUUUGUUGCAUUAGUUUUCUUAUAAAUAGAGAGGACCCCAGAUGUUGAUUUUUACUCUUGCAA